CUGUAGGAAUACAUGACAAUGAUUAUAUACAGAUUGGUUUUAGUAACUCAUCCCUGAUUAUUGAUAGUACAGAAAUGACUCUUGACAUGUCCAACUAUCAUGGAAUAAUGCAAUCAGGAGAAAUAUCAACUGUUCAGUUGCAAGUUGAAAGUUUAUCAGGUGAAGCUUUAAAUGUCACUCGCUUUGAUUUCUAUAAUUACAGUGGAAGCUACAGUGCAACUCUUAAUCUCUCUCAUCUUCCUUUCCCUCUGG
Amphimedon queenslandica is the source of this 252-nucleotide long non-coding RNA. RefSeq lists it as uncharacterized. NCBI's taxonomy places the organism in Eukaryota, Metazoa, Porifera, Demospongiae, Haplosclerida, Niphatidae. The record is from RefSeq and is a predicted model, not a curated record. The transcript is spliced from 3 exons.